UACAGAGGGUGCGAGCGUUAAUCGGAUUUACUGGGCGUAAAGGGCGCGUAGGCGGUUGUAUGAGUGUGAUGUGAAAGCCCCGGGCUCAACCUGGGAAGUGCAUCGCAAACGAUACGACUAGAGUAUAUGAGAGGGUGGCGGAAUUUCCGGUGUAGCGGUGAAAUGCGUAGAGAUCGGAAGGAACGUCAAUGGCGAAGGCAGCCACCUGGCAUAAUACUGACGCUGAGGCGCGAAAGCGUGGGGAGCGAACAGG
RNAcentral lists this ribosomal RNA (253 nucleotides) under uncultured bacterium. RNAcentral's name for it is "partial 16S ribosomal RNA". It matches the Rfam family "Bacterial small subunit ribosomal RNA", at positions 524 to 776 of the family's 1533-position model. The record is from RNAcentral. RNAcentral also lists the same sequence under 1 other name.